RNAcentral lists this ribosomal RNA (472 nucleotides) under uncultured bacterium. Its description in RNAcentral is "bacterial SSU rRNA". It matches the Rfam family "Bacterial small subunit ribosomal RNA", at positions 8 to 526 of the family's 1533-position model. The record is from RNAcentral.
AGAGUUUGAUCCUGGCUCAGAACGAACGCUGGCGGCAGGCUUAACACAUGCAAGUCGAGCGCACUCUUCGGAGUGAGCGGCAGACGGGUGAGUAACGCGUGGGAAUCUACCUAUCUCUAGGGAAUAACUCAGGGAAACUUGAGCUAAUACCCUAUACGCCCUUUUGGGGAAAGAUUUAUCGGGGAUUGAUGAGCCCGCGUUGGAUUAGCUAGUUGGUGGGGUAAAGGCCCACCAAGGCGACGAUCCAUAGCUGGUCUGAGAGGAUGAUCAGCCACACUGGGACUGAGACACGGCCCAGACUCCUACGGGAGGCAGCAGUGGGGAAUAUUGGACAAUGGGGGCAACCCUGAUCCAGCCAUGCCGCGUGAGUGAUGAAGGCCCUAGGGUUGUAAAGCUCUUUCACCGGGGAAGAUAAUGACGGUACCCGGAGAAGAAGCCCCGGCUAACUCUGUGCCAGCAGCCGCGGUAAUAC